AGAGUUUGAUCCUGGCUCAGAACGAACGCUGGCGGCAGGCUUAACACAUGCAAGUCGAACGCUGAGCAGCAAUGCUCGGAGUGGCGGACGGGUGAGUAACGCGUGGAAAUCUACCUGGUAGUGGGGGAUAGCUUCUGGAAACGGAAGGUAAAACCGCAUAAGCCCUGAGGGGGAAAUAUUUAUAGCUAUCAGAUGAGUCUGCGUCCGAUUAGGUAGUUGGUGAGGUAAGGGCUCACCAAGCCGAUGAUCGGUAGCUGGUCUGAGAGGAUGAUCAGCCACAUUGGGACUGAGGCACGGCCCAAACUCCUACGGGAGGCAGCAGUGGGGAAUAUUGGACAAUGGGGGGAACCCUGAUCCAGCCAUGCCGCGUGAAUGAGAAGGCCUUAGGGUUGUAAAGUUCUUUUAUAAGGGAAGAUGAUGACGGUACCUUAUGAAUAAGCACCGGCAAACUUCGUGCCAGCAGCCGCGGUAAUACGAAGGGUGCAAGCGUUGUUCGGAUUUACUGGGCGUAAAGCGCACGCAGGCGGUUAUAUAAGUCAGCGGUGAAAUUCCGGAGCUCAACUCCGGCAUUGCCAUUGAUACUGUAUAGCUAGAGUGUAUGAGAGGAUGAUGGAAUAUCCAGUGUAGAGGUGAAAUUCGUAGAUAUUGGAUAGAACACCAGUGGCGAAGGCGAUCAUCUGGCGUACAACUGACGCUAAUGUGCGAAAGCGUGGGUAGCAAACAGGAUUAGAUACCCUGGUAGUCCACGCUGUAAACGAUGAGUGCUAGAUAUACGGUCUGUAAAGGACUUUGUGUCGGAGCUAACGCGUUAAGCACUCCGCCUGGGGAGUACGGUCGCAAGAUUAAAACUCAAAGGAAUUGACGGGGGCCCGCACAAGCGGUGGAGCAUGUGGUUUAAUUCGACGCAACGCGAAGAACCUUACCAGCUUUUGACAUGGACAUUGGGGUUAGCGGAGACGCUGACUUUCAUUUAGUUGGGUGUCACACAGGUGCUGCAUGGCUGUCGUCAGCUCGUGUCGUGAGAUGUUGGGUUAAGUCCCGCGACGAGCGCAACCCUCGCCUUUAGUUGCCAUCAUCAAGUUGGGCACUCUAAAGGAACCGCCUAUGAUAAGUAGGAGGAAGGUGGGGAUGACGUCAAGUCCUCAUGGCCCUUACGGGCUGGGCUACACACGUGCUACAAUGGUUAUUACAGAGGGAAGCGAACCCGAGAGGGGGAGCAAAUCCUAUAAAAAUAAUCUCAGUUCGGAUUGAGCUCUGCAACUCGAGCUCAUGAAGUUGGAAUCGCUAGUAAUCGUGGAUCAGCAUGCCACGGUGAAUACGUUCCCGGGCCUUGUACACACCGCCCGUCACACCAUGGGAGUUGGCUUUACCUGAAGACGUUAGGAUAACCGCAAGGGGUCUGGCGGCCACGGUAGGGUCAGUGACUGGGGUGAAGUCGUAACAAGGUAACC
This 1451-nucleotide ribosomal RNA is filed under the name uncultured rumen bacterium. RNAcentral describes it as "bacterial SSU rRNA". It matches the Rfam family "Bacterial small subunit ribosomal RNA". The record is from RNAcentral.